CUCUGAAGUUUUCGGAUGGAAGAGAGUUCAGCGGAGUGGCGAACGGGUGAGUAACACGUGAGCAACCUGCCUUUCAGUGGGGGACAACAUUUGGAAACGAAUGCUAAUACCGCAUAAGACCACAGUGUCGCAUGGCACAGGGGUCAAAGGAUUUAUCCGCUGAAAGAUGGGCUCGCGUCCGAUUAGCUAGAUGGUGAGGUAACGGCCCACCAUGGCGACGAUCGGUAGCCGGACUGAGAGGUUGAACGGCCACAUUGGGACUGAGACACGGCCCAGACUCCUACGGGAGGCAGCAGUGGGGAAUAUUGCACAAUGGGGGAAACCCUGAUGCAGCGACGCCGCGUGGAGGAAGAAGGUCUUCGGAUUGUAAACUCCUGUCCCAGGGGACGAUAAUGACGGUACCCUGGGAGGAAGCACCGGCUAACUACGUGCCAGCAGCCGCGGUAAAACGUAGGGUGCAAGCGUUGUCCGGAAUUACUGGGUGUAAAGGGAGCGCAGGCGGAUUGGCAAGUUGGGAGUGAAAUCUAUGGGCUCAACCCAUAAAUUGCUUUCAAAACUGUCAGUCUUGAGUGGUGUAGAGGUAGGCGGAAUUCCCGGUGUAGCGGUGGAAUGCGUAGAUAUCGGGGAGGAACACCAGUGGCGAAGG
This 646-nucleotide ribosomal RNA is filed under the name uncultured Lachnospiraceae bacterium. RNAcentral describes it as "bacterial SSU rRNA". It matches the Rfam family "Bacterial small subunit ribosomal RNA", at positions 67 to 721 of the family's 1533-position model. The record is from RNAcentral. Lineage: Bacteria; Bacillati; Bacillota; Clostridia; Lachnospirales; Lachnospiraceae.